CACGUAGGGCGCAAGCGUUGUCCGGAAUUAUUGGGCGUAAAGAGCUCGUAGGCGGUCUGUUGCGUCCGCUGUGAAAACUCGGGGCUUAACCCCGAGCCUGCAGUGGAUACGGGCAGACUAGAGGUAGGUAGGGGAGAAUGGAAUUCCCGGUGUAGCGGUGAAAUGCGCAGAUAUCGGGAGGAACACCGGUGGCGAAAGCGCGUGACUGGACCAUAACUGACGCUGAGGAACGAAAGCCAGGGUAGCGAAAGGG
RNAcentral lists this ribosomal RNA (253 nucleotides) under uncultured bacterium. RNAcentral describes it as "partial 16S ribosomal RNA". It matches the Rfam family "Bacterial small subunit ribosomal RNA", at positions 524 to 776 of the family's 1533-position model. The record is from RNAcentral.